AUUGAACGCUGGCGGCAGGCCUAACACAUGCAAGUCGAACGGUAACAGGAAGAAGCUUGCUUCUUUGCUGACGAGUGGCGGACGGGUGAGUAAUGUCUGGGAAACUGCCUGAUGGAGGGGGAUAACUACUGGAAACGGUAGCUAAUACCGCAUAACGUCGCAAGACCAAAAAGGGGGACCUUCGGGCCUCUUGCCAUCGGAUGUGCCCAGAUGGGAUUAGCUAGUAGGUGGGGUAACGGCUCACCUAGGCGACGAUCCCUAGCUGGUCUGAGAGGAUGACCAGCCACACUGGAACUGAGACACGGUCCAGACUCCUACGGGAGGCAGCAGUGGGGAAUAUUGCACAAUGGGCGCAAGCCUGAUGCAGCCAUGCCGCGUGUAAGAAGAAGGCCUUCGGGUUGUAAAGUACUUUCAGCGGGGAGGAAGGGAGUAAAGUUAAUACCUUUGCUCAUUGACGUUACCCGCAGAAGAAGCACCGGCUAACUCCGUG
This 490-nucleotide ribosomal RNA is filed under the name uncultured bacterium. RNAcentral's name for it is "partial 16S ribosomal RNA". It matches the Rfam family "Bacterial small subunit ribosomal RNA", at positions 30 to 507 of the family's 1533-position model. The record is from RNAcentral.